GACAACCGUGUGAAGGGAUGAAUACUGGUGAGCGGUGCAUUAAGGUGGCUGAGACGGUCGGCAGGCAGGGCUGGGGUGGGGGCCGGUGGGACACAGGCCGUGGCUGGGCCUGAGUCAAGGACCUGCCCACGGCUGGGCUCCGUGCCUCCCAGGAACCGGACUCUCCACACCCCUGGUGACCCUGCACAUUCCCAUUGGCCUGCGGAGGCUGGACCAGGAAUGAAGGGGUCCCCAGGCCAGGUCAGGGUGGACCCCCCGCAGUCUCGUGGGUGGGGAGUGGUUAGGGUCAGUGAUAUGCCCAAGCUCACCCAGCUGCUGGUGGCAGGACUCACUGGAAUCUGGCCUCGGUGUCCAGCUUCAUCAAGCCACAGCUGUCCUCCAUGCUCAGAGCCAGCAGACCAGGGAUGAAGUGGAGAUUCUCUGUUUUCACGUCUGUGCACUUGCACAGUAAGAGGUGAACGGUCCUGUGUUUGGAGCAGGGCCGAGAUGGACCAGGGAUUGCCUGCAGGCCUCUCUUACUCCCUGGGGCAGCCUCCUCAGAUCUCCGGGCUGAAACUGCUGGACCCAUCUCUGUGGUCCUUCCAGCUCCAGCCUGAGGCUGUAGGAUGAAGCCAGGAGCCUGUGCCUUCAUCCCACACAAAUGCAGCCAGAAAUUGGGAUCCCCACACCCCACCUUUGGAGAAGACAUGAGCUGCUUUCAAAUGUCACAUGUGGGUCCCCAAGCGAAGAAUCUUGCUUUGAGCAUAUUCAUUACGUCCAACAGAAACGUCCGGCACACAAGGUCUAACAGUUAAGUAUUCAGAGUACAAAGAAAAACAAGCCUUGAAUAUUCAGAUAAAUAUCAUUAACUUCAAAGAUGUUCGUUCCUUGGUGAGACAAUUCAUUAUUCUGAUAAUGCUGCUGUUUCUUAAGAUUUCUUUCAAGUGCAUCUUUCAGAGUUGCCUCCAAAGCGGGCAUAUCCUUGGUUGGGUAACUCUACCCACUGGAUUCAAUUUUGGAGAAAAACCAACAUUUAUACCCAUGGAGCUACAGACUGUGACCAGGGCUUCCCUGAUGGCUCAAACGGUAAAGAAUCUGCCUGAAAUGCAGGAGACCCAGGUUUGAUCCCUGGGUUGGGAAGAGCCCCUGGAGGAGGGCAUGGCAACUCACUCCAGUAUUCUUGCUUGGAGAAUUCCACGGACAGAGGAUCCUGCUGGGCUACAGUCCACAGGGUUGCAAAGGGUUAGACACGACUUAACAACUAAACAGCAGCACUAUAUAACUCUACAAAUAUACGUUGAAGGAAGGAAGGCAGGCCUGACACAGGAAACAGCGUCUUUUCAGAGCCAGGCCUCUGGGAGGAAUUAGAUUCCCGAUUAGGUUUCAAGGGAGACGGCUCUUACCUGAUACACCGCAGGGGACGCGGGGACAUGUGCCAGGCAUGGGCCACCUGCCUCCCUUCACCUGCAAUUAAAGGAUCACCAGCCUUUUCUCAGAUCUUCUAUUGACUGUAAAUAGUCCACCCCAGGGAGGAGAUGCCUCUGCAGGGCUCUGCUGGCUAUGCUCAACCCCAAACAAAAUACAGAUAACACAGCUUUUUCUGUCUCAAACAGGAAUAGUUAAUGCUGUUAGAAAUUAAGAUAAAAAGAAAUCCUCCAUUUUUACAGAUGAAUCAUUGAAACCUGGCUCGGAAGACCACCCAUGGCUCCAGAGAAAGUGUUUUGCUGGUUAAGUUUUUAACAUUCGAGGCUCUUGGAGAGGUUGAUUUGAAAGCAGCCAUAAAUCACACCACUUCAAAGGCGACUGUGGUUUGUGAAAGGACCCGGCCGCUGCCUGCCUGCUGGAAUCUGGAGGGCAGGAAGAAAGCUUUGACCUUCCUCUGCUGACUCUGCAUAAUGACCACUUUUGAAUCGUGAAAUGUCUUAGAAAUUAUAGAAGAUUUUGGAAAUUCUCAGACUGCCAUUUAGUUUCAA
Molecule: long non-coding RNA, 1952 nt
Organism: Bos taurus (domestic cattle)
Lineage: Eukaryota; Metazoa; Chordata; Mammalia; Artiodactyla; Bovidae
Source: Ensembl